GACGAACGCUGGCGGCGUGCUUAACACAUGCAAGUCGAACGGAAAGGCCCUGCUUUUGUGGGGUGCUCGAGUGGCGAACGGGUGAGUAACACGUGAGUAACCUGCCCUUGACUUUGGGAUAACUUCAGGAAACUGGGGCUCAUACCCGAUAGGAGCUCCUGCUGCAUGGUGGGGGUUGGAAAGUUUCGGCGGUUGGGGAUGGACUCGCGGCUUAUCAGCUUGUUGGUGGGGUAGUGGCUUACCACGGCUUUGGCGGGUAGCCGGCCUGGGAGGGUGACCGGCCACAAUGGGACUGCGAUACGGCCCAGACUCCUACGGGAGGCAGCAGUGGGGAAUAUUGCACAAUGGGCGGAAGCCUGAUGCAGCAACGCCGCGUGCGGGAUGACGGCCUUCGGGUUGUAAACCGCUUUCGCCUGUGACGAAGCGUGAGUGACGGUAAUGGGUAAAGAAGCACCGGCUAACUACGUG
Molecule: ribosomal RNA, 468 nt
Filed under: uncultured bacterium
Lineage: Bacteria
Description: partial 16S ribosomal RNA
Rfam family: Bacterial small subunit ribosomal RNA
Source: RNAcentral